Molecule: ribosomal RNA, 1357 nt
Filed under: uncultured bacterium
Lineage: Bacteria
Description: bacterial SSU rRNA
Rfam family: Bacterial small subunit ribosomal RNA
Source: RNAcentral
AGCGGCAGGCUUAACACAUGCAAGUCGAGGGGCAGCGGGGAGGAAGCUUGCUUUCUCCGCCGGCGACCGGCGCACGGGUGAGUAACACGUAUGCAACCUGCCCCUGUCAGGGGGACAACCCGCCGAAAGGCGGGCUAAACCCGCGUACAUGCCACCGGGGCAUCCCGGAGGCAGGAAAGGCUUCGGCCGGACAGGGAUGGGCAUGCGGCGCAUUAGGCAGUAGGCGGGGUAACGGCCCACCUAACCGACGAUGCGUAGGGGUUCUGAGAGGAAGGUCCCCCACACUGGUACUGAGACACGGACCAGACUCCUACGGGAGGCAGCAGUGAGGAAUAUUGGUCAAUGGUCGGGAGACUGAACCAGCCAAGCCGCGUGAGGGAGGAAGGUACAGAGUAUCGUAAACCUCUUUUGUCAGGGAACAAAGACUGGGACGCGUCCCCGGAUGAGUGUACCUGAAGAAAAAGCAUCGGCUAACUCCGUGCCCGCAGCCGCGGUAAUACGGAGGAUGCGAGCGUUAUCCGGAUUUAUUGGGUUUAAAGGGUGCGCAGGCGGUCUGUUAAGUCAGCGGUCAAAGCCCGGGGCUCAACCCCGGCCCGCCGUUGAAACUGGCAGUCUCGAGUUGGAGAGAAGUAUGCGGAAUGCGCGGUGUAGCGGUGAAAUGCAUAGAUAUCGCGCAGAACUCCGAUUGCGAAGGCAGCAUGCCGGCUCCACACUGACGCUGAGGCACGAAAGCGUGGGUAUCGAACAGGAUUAGAUACCCUGGUAGUCCACGCAGUAAACGAUGAAUGCUGGCUGUCCGGGGGGACUGACCCCUGGGUGGCGAAGCGAAAGCGAUAAGCAUUCCACCUGGGGAGUACGCCGGCAACGGUGAAACUCAAAGGAAUUGACGGGGGCCCGCACAAGCGGAGGAACAUGUGGUUUAAUUCGAUGAUACGCGAGGAACCUUACCCGGGCUCAAACGGGGAGUGCCGCAGGCAGAGACGCCUGUUUCCCACGGGACACUCCCCGAGGUGCUGCAUGGUUGUCGUCAGCUCGUGCCGUGAGGUGUCGGCUUAAGUGCCAUAACGAGCGCAACCCCCGCGUGCAGUUGCUAACAGAUAACGCUGAGGACUCUGCACGGACUGCCGGCGCAAGCCGCGAGGAAGGCGGGGAUGACGUCAAAUCAGCACGGCCCUUACGUCCGGGGCGACACACGUGUUACAAUGGGUGGUACAGCGGGAAGCCAGGCGGCGACGCCGAGCGGAACCCGAAAUCCACUCUCAGUUCGGAUCGGAGUCUGCAACCCGACUCCGUGAAGCUGGAUUCGCUAGUAAUCGCGCAUCAGCCAUGGCGCGGUGAAUACGUUCCCGGGCCUUGU